This 480-nucleotide ribosomal RNA is filed under the name uncultured Lactobacillus sp. RNAcentral's name for it is "bacterial SSU rRNA". It matches the Rfam family "Bacterial small subunit ribosomal RNA", at positions 391 to 863 of the family's 1533-position model. Lineage: Bacteria; Bacillati; Bacillota; Bacilli; Lactobacillales; Lactobacillaceae. The record is from RNAcentral.
GCAACGCCGCGUGAGUGAAGAAGGCUUUCGGGUCGUAAAACUCUGUUGUUGGAGAAGAAUGGUCGGCAGAGUAACUGUUGUCGGCGUGACGGUAUCCAACCAGAAAGCCACGGCUAACUAGUGCCAGCAGCCGCGGUAAUACGUAGGUGGGCAAGCGUUAUCCGGUUUAUUGGGCGUAAAGCGAGCGCAGGCGGUUUUUUAAGUCUGAUGUGAAAGCCCUCGGCUUAACCGAGGAAGCGCAUCGGAAACUGGGAAACUUGAGUGCAGAAGAGGACAGUGGAACUCCAUGUGUAGCGGUGAAAUGCGUAGAUAUAUGGAAGAACACCAGUGGCGAAGGCGGCUGUCUGGUCUGUAACUGACGCUGAGGCUCGAAAGCAUGGGUAGCGAACAGGAUUAGAUACCCUGGUAGUCCAUGCCGUAAACGAUGAAUGCUAGGUGUUGGAGGGUUUCCGCCCUUCAGUGCCGCAGCUAACGCAUUAA